UACGUAGGGUGCGAGCGUUGUCCGGAAUUACUGGGCGUAAAGAGCUCGUAGGUGGUUUGUCACGUCGUCUGUGAAAUUCCGGGGCUUAACCUCGGACGUGCAGGCGAUACGGGCAAUACUUGAGUGCUGUAGGGGAGACUGGAAUUCCUGGUGUAGCGGUGAAAUGCGCAGAUAUCAGGAGGAACACCAAUGGCGAAGGCAGGUCUCUGGGCAGUUACUGACGCUGAGGAGCGAAAGCAUGGGUAGUGAACAGGAUUAGA
Molecule: ribosomal RNA, 260 nt
Filed under: uncultured prokaryote
Description: partial 16S ribosomal RNA
Rfam family: Bacterial small subunit ribosomal RNA
Source: RNAcentral